UACGUAGGCAGCGAGCGUUGUUCGGAGUUACUGGGCGUAAAGAGUGCGUAGGCGGUUUUCUAAGUUUGGUGUGAAAUCUCCCGGCUUAACUGGGAGGGUGCGCCGAAGACUGGAAGGCUUGAGUAUGGGAGAGGUAAGCGGAAUUCCUGGUGUAGCGGUGAAAUGCGUAGAUAUCGGGAGGAACACCAGUGGCGAAGGCGACUUCCUGGCCUGUUCUUGACGCUGAGGCGCGAAAGCUAGGGUAGCAAACGGG
Molecule: ribosomal RNA, 253 nt
Filed under: uncultured bacterium
Lineage: Bacteria
Description: partial 16S ribosomal RNA
Rfam family: Bacterial small subunit ribosomal RNA
Source: RNAcentral